GGCCGCGCAUGCCCGCGGGGCAGGUGCGCGGGAGCGGGAGCUUGUGUGGUGCGGGGUACCGCUGUCCGCGGACCGAGCGCGUUUCCUACUUGCUUUCUGGGUUCUUUUUUUUCCCUUUUUUUCCCUUUUUUUUUUUUCCCCUCUGCCUUCCCCCCUCCGCCUCCCCACUCCUCAUUUUAUCCCUGUUUCCCCGUCAUAUCGCAGGCUUUCAGCUGGAUCUCUCCUCUUUAAAAUGCUUUCUUCGAUGUCACCCAUUUUUUCCCCUUUGCAGUAGCUUAUCGGAAGGUGCGCUGCAUUAAGCUAAAUCCGCGCCUGGUAUUACAUCAUGUGCCCUCAACCGAGUGUGGGAGAUGAUGGUCACCUGAAACCAAAGCACUGGCUUCUUACACAUUGUUUUGGGAAUCAAACACUGAAUAAACUCAGGAAUACUGAAAUCAAGUACCAUGGCUUCAGGUAGAGGAAGGACACAUUUUCCAGCAAGGAAACGAAUGCAGCAUUAGAAACAUCUCUUACCACUGUAUACAGCCUGAAAUCAAAGUUGAAUGUGCAUACGUUUUUGGUUGUUGUUUUUUUUUUUUUAUCACAGGACAAGAUUUUAAAUAAUAUUAGUAAAGAAAGAUCUGUAACUGUACUGCCAUAAGCACAUUAAGGCAGUGCACAGUACAUCUCAGAAAAGGCCUAAGGCUCAGAUGUCUAUCUCUAUGUUCUUGUAUUCCCAACAAGCAGUGAAUAAUGCAUUAGUUUUGCUUCAAGCAUCCUAUUUUGAAUAUGCUUUGGC
Long non-coding RNA from Numida meleagris (helmeted guineafowl), 778 nucleotides. RefSeq lists it as uncharacterized. The transcript has 3 exons. NCBI's taxonomy places the organism in Eukaryota, Metazoa, Chordata, Aves, Galliformes, Numididae. The record is from RefSeq and is a predicted model, not a curated record.